UACGUAGGGUGCGAGCGUUGUCCGGAAUUAUUGGGCGUAAAGAGCUCGUAGGCGGUGUGUCACGUCGGCCGUGAAAACCUGCAGCUUAACUGUGGGCGUGCGGUCGAUACGGGCAUCACUGGAGUUCGGCAGGGGAGACUGGAAUUCCUGGUGUAGCGGUGAAAUGCGCAGAUAUCAGGAGGAACACCGAUGGCGAAGGCAGGUCUCUGGGCCGAUACUGACGCUGAGGCGCGAAAGCCAGGGGAGCAAACGGG
Molecule: ribosomal RNA, 254 nt
Filed under: uncultured bacterium
Lineage: Bacteria
Description: partial 16S ribosomal RNA
Rfam family: Bacterial small subunit ribosomal RNA
Source: RNAcentral